Molecule: RNA transcript, 1689 nt
Organism: Cucurbita maxima (winter squash)
Lineage: Eukaryota; Viridiplantae; Streptophyta; Magnoliopsida; Cucurbitales; Cucurbitaceae
Gene name: probable L-ascorbate peroxidase 6, chloroplastic/mitochondrial
Exons: 12
Source: RefSeq, a predicted model, not a curated record
AGAACCGGUUUGGAUUUGCAGAACCGUGUUGCCAAACAAGGCUUCAGGUUGAUUGGGAACAAGCGUAAAGACUAAAGAGGCCGCAAUAAAGGAAGCUCCAAAUGGCCGAUCUUUUGUCCCUACAACUGACACUUCCAUCGCCUUCAGUUCCAUUCACUGCUUCGAAGCACAAGAUGCCAACCAAAUCCAUGGCUGCUUCUGUUUUUGGAAGCGCCGCCACUGCCGCCGCCGCCUCAUCAACCACUCGUUUCCUCUCCUCAGCCGCCAGAGCUACACUAUCUUUCUCUUCACGUUCAUCAUCACUCCUUUCUCGCUCCUCGUCAUCGUCGUCUCUCAAGUCUCUCGGAUCGUCUCCUUCUAUUUCUCACCUUUUUCUGAAUCAGGGGAGACCGAGUUCUCGUGUAUCCAACAGAGGAUUCAGUGCGGCGUCUAAUCCGAAAUGCCUGUCAUCGGAUCCUGAGCAGUUGAAGAAUGCUAGAGAAGAUAUCAAGCAGCUCCUGAAGACCACAUUCUGCCAUCCUAUUUUGGUACGCCUAGGUUGGCAUGAUGCUGGAACUUACAAUAAAGAUAUUGAGGAUUGGCCACAGAGAGGUGGAGCUAAUGGAAGUUUAAGAUUUGAUGUUGAACUGGGACAUGGUGCUAAUGCUGGUCUUGUUAAUGCCUUGAAACUCAUUGAGCCUAUCAAAAAGAAGUAUUCUAACGUGACAUAUGCUGACCUAUUUCAGUUGGCUAGUGCUACAGCUAUCGAGGAGGCUGGGGGACCCAAAAUUCCCAUGAAGUAUGGAAGGGUGGAUGUUGUGGGGCCAGAGCAAUGCCCUGAAGAGGGAAGGCUUCCUGAUGCUGGUCCUCCGUCACCUGCUGCACAUCUACGAGAUGUUUUCUACAGAAUGGGGUUGAAUGACAAGGAAAUAGUUGCAUUAUCCGGGGCACACACCUUAGGGAGAUCUAGGCCAGAACGCAGUGGUUGGGGCAAGCCAGAGACCAAAUAUACGAAAGAUGGACCUGGUGCACCCGGUGGGCAAUCCUGGACUGCACAAUGGUUGAAGUUUGACAACUCGUAUUUUAAGGAUAUCAAAGAAAGGACAGAUCAAGAAUUACUGGUGUUGCCAACUGAUGCUGUUCUCUUUGGAGAUCCAUCAUUCAAGGUUUAUGCUGAAAAAUAUGUUGAAGACCAAGAAGCAUUCUUCAAAGACUAUGCGGAAGCCCAUGCUAAACUCAGCAACCUUGGUGCUAAAUUUGACCCUCCAGAGGGUAUUGUGAUUGAUGAUGCAUCUUCGACACCUGCAUGAGAGAAGUUAGAUGCUGACAAAUACUCGCAUGGAAAGGUUGUAUACAUUACAAACUUUCAUAUUUAACCUAUAUUCAACCCUGUCAACAGUGAUGUCUUCUAAAACUUCAGGUCUUAAAUGAAGUAGAAUGAAACAAAAUUCAACAGUAUUGCAUAUUUGAUUUGCAGAGAGAGAGCUAUCAGACACAAUGAAGCAGAAGAUUCGGGCAGAAUACGAAGCUUUUGGUGCAAGUCCAGAUAAGCCUUUAUCAACGAACUUCUUUCUAAAUAUCAUUGUUGUGAUUGCUGUUUUGGGAAUUUUGACAUCCCUGCUUGGAAAAUAAUUUGAGUUUUUUAAUCUAUUUUCGAAAUGGUCUGUUUCUCAACAAAAUUUCUUAUGAUUUCACGAUUUAUUUCUUCUA